GAUGAACGCUGGCGGCGUGCCUAAUACAUGCAAGUCGAGCGAACAGACGAGGAGCUUGCUCCUCUGACGUUAGCGGCGGACGGGUGAGUAACACGUGGAUAACCUACCUAUAAGACUGGGAUAACUUCGGGAAACCGGAGCUAAUACCGGAUAAUAUAUUGAACCGCAUGGUUCAAUAGUGAAAGACGGUUUUGCUGUCACUUAUAGAUGGAUCCGCGCCGCAUUAGCUAGUUGGUAAGGUAACGGCUUACCAAGGCAACGAUGCGUAGCCGACCUGAGAGGGUGAUCGGCCACACUGGAACUGAGACACGGUCCAGACUCCUACGGGAGGCAGCAGUAGGGAAUCUUCCGCAAUGGGCGAAAGCCUGACGGAGCAACGCCGCGUGAGUGAUGAAGGUCUUCGGAUCGUAAAACUCUGUUAUUAGGGAAGAACAAAUGUGGAAGUAACUAUGCACGGCUUGACGGUACCUAAUCAGAAAGCCACGGCUAACUACGUG
Molecule: ribosomal RNA, 497 nt
Filed under: uncultured bacterium
Lineage: Bacteria
Description: partial 16S ribosomal RNA
Rfam family: Bacterial small subunit ribosomal RNA
Source: RNAcentral